GGUCUCGGAUUCUGCCAGUCAUUUCUGCCAGUUCCAUAUAGUCAAUCACCUUCAUCUGCCUUUCUUCCAGGGUGGGUAGAUCUUGUGUCUUCCAAUACUUUGCAAUAAGUAUUCUUGCUGCUGUUGUGGCAUACAUGAAAAAAGUUCUAUCCUUCUUUGGCACCAAUUGGCCGACUAUGCCCAGGAGAAAGGCCUCUGGUUUCUUCAAGAAAGUAUAUUUAAAUACUUUUUUCAAUUCAUUAUAGAUCAUCUCCCAGAAAGCCUUAAUCCUUGGACACGUCCACCAAAGGUGAAAGAAUGUACCUUCAGUUUCUUUACAUUUCCAACAUUUAUUAUCGGGCAAAUGAUAGAUUUUUGCAAGCUUGACUGGAGUCAUGUACCACCUGUAUACCAUUUUCAUAAUAUUCUCUCUUAAGGCAUUACAUGCCGUAAACUUCAUACCUGUGGUCCAUAACUGUUCCCAGUCAGCCAUCAUUAUAUUAUGUCCAACGUCUUGUGCCCAUUUAAUCAUAGCAGAUUUCACCGUUUCAUCCUGAGUAUUCCAUUUCAACAGCAAGUUAUACAUCUUUGACAAAAUCUUAGUUUUGGGUUCUAACAGUUCUGUUUCUAAUUUUGAUUUUUCCACCUGGAAGCCAAUUUUCUUGUCCGAGUUAUAUGCCUCCAUUAUCUGAUAAUAAUGAAGCCAAUCUCGCACUUUGUUUUUUAGUUUCUCAAAGCUCUGCAAUUUCAGUCUAUCUCCCUCUUGUUCCAAAAUUUCCCAAUAUUUCGGCCAUUUGGCCUCCAUAUUGAGCUUUUUCAGUGCUUUUGCUUCCAUCGGUGACAGCCACCUUGGAGUUUUGUUUUCCAAUAAAUCCUUAUAUCUUAUCCAGACAUUAAACAAUGCUUUCCUGACAAUAUGAUUCUUAAAUGCUUUAUGUGCUUUGACCUUAUCAUACCACAGAUAUGCAUGCCAUCCAAAUACAUUGUUAAAACCUUCUAAAUCCAAAAUGUCUGUGUUUUCAAGAAGCAGC
Non-coding RNA from Podarcis lilfordi (Lilford's wall lizard), 1010 nucleotides. Lineage: Eukaryota; Metazoa; Chordata; Lepidosauria; Squamata; Lacertidae. The record is from the annotation of a GenBank genome assembly.